CCUACGGGAGGCAGCAGUAGGGAAUCUUGCACAAUGGGGGAAACCCUGAUGGAGCAACGCCGCGUGAGUGAAGAAGGGUUUCGGAUCGUAAAGUUCUGUUGUUGGAGAAGAAAGUGCGCGAGAGUAACUGAUAACGCAGUGACGGUAUCCAACCAGCAAGCCACGGCAAACUAAGUGCCAGCAGCCGCGGUAAUACGUAGGGGGCAAGCGUUAUCCGGAUUUAUUGGGCGUAAAGCGUGCGCAGGCGGUUGCUUAAGUCUGAUGUGAAAGCCUUCGGCUUAACCGAAGAAGUGCAUCGGAAACCGGGCAACUUGAGUACAGAAGAGGACAGUGGAACUCCAUGUGUAGCGGUGAAAUGCGUAGAUAUAAGGAGGAACACCAGUGGCGAAGGCGACUGUCUGGUCUGUAACUGACGCUGAGGCUCGAAAGCAUGGGUAGCAAACAGGAUUAGAUACCCGAGUAGUC
RNAcentral lists this ribosomal RNA (465 nucleotides) under uncultured bacterium. RNAcentral's name for it is "partial 16S ribosomal RNA". It matches the Rfam family "Bacterial small subunit ribosomal RNA", at positions 338 to 795 of the family's 1533-position model. The record is from RNAcentral.